GUCUACGGCCAUACCACCCUGAACGCGCCCGAUCUCGUCUGAUCUCGGAAGCUAAGCAGGGUUGGGCCUGGUUAGUACUUGGAUGGGAGACCGCCUGGGAAUGCCGGGUGCUGUAGGCU
Molecule: non-coding RNA, 119 nt
Organism: Myotis davidii
Lineage: Eukaryota; Metazoa; Chordata; Mammalia; Chiroptera; Vespertilionidae
Source: Rfam